This 437-nucleotide ribosomal RNA is filed under the name uncultured Ochrobactrum sp. Its description in RNAcentral is "bacterial SSU rRNA". It matches the Rfam family "Bacterial small subunit ribosomal RNA", at positions 476 to 916 of the family's 1533-position model. The record is from RNAcentral. Lineage: Bacteria; Pseudomonadati; Pseudomonadota; Alphaproteobacteria; Hyphomicrobiales; Brucellaceae.
CACCCGAAUAAGAAGGCCGGCUAACUUCGUGCCAGCAGCCGCGGUAAUACGAAGGGACCUAGCGUAGUUCGGAAUUACUGGGCUUAAAGAGUUCGUAGGUGGUUGAAAAAGUUGGUGGUGAAAUCCCAGAGCUUAACUCUGGAACUGCCAUCAAAACUUUUCAGCUACAGUAUGAUAGAGGAAAGCAGAAUUUCUAGUGUAGAGGUGAAAUUCGUAGAUAUUAGAAAGAAUACCAAUUGCGAAGGCAGCUUUCUGGAUCAUUACUGACACUGAGGAACGAAAGCAUGGGUAGCGAAGAGGAUUAGAUACCCUCGUAGUCCAUGCCGUAAACGAUGUGUGUUAGACGUUGGAAAUUUAUUUUCAGUGUCGCAGCGAAAGCGAUAAACACACCGCCUGGGGAGUACGACCGCAAGGUUAAAACUCAAAUGAAUUGACGG